UAUGGCCAUAUCAUGUAGAAACAUUGGUUCCCUUCCAAUCACUGAAGUUAAGCAACACUGAGCCUGGUCAGUAGUUAUAUGGGUGACCACUUGAGAAUACCAGGUGUUGUGU
Acanthosepion pharaonis is the source of this 112-nucleotide non-coding RNA. Lineage: Eukaryota; Metazoa; Mollusca; Cephalopoda; Sepiida; Sepiidae. The record is from the annotation of a GenBank genome assembly.